AGCUUUGUGCAGUGGCAGUAUCAUAGCCAAUGAGGUUUAUCUGAGGCGCGAUUAUUGCUAAUUGAAAAG
Molecule: small nuclear RNA, 69 nt
Filed under: Chlorocebus sabaeus (green monkey)
Lineage: Eukaryota; Metazoa; Chordata; Mammalia; Primates; Cercopithecidae
Description: U4 spliceosomal RNA
Rfam family: U4 spliceosomal RNA
About the family: U4 small nuclear RNA (U4 snRNA) is a component of the major U2-dependent spliceosome.
Source: Rfam by way of RNAcentral